AUGUGUACCGUCUCCCCGGCCUGGAGGCUUCGACCUUUCCACCACGCCCCCGUCCUCUUUCCCUUCCCGUCGCUCGCUUCCCCCCUACCCGAACCUUCUCGACUCCCUCUUCGCAUGGCCGACGCGAAGGCCGAGGCGGCGAGGCAGGCGCCGCAGUCCUCCCAGGAGGAGGAGGAGGACUGGAAGGAGGCCGAGGGGGACGUCGAGGUCGCGGACAGGUCCACGAGCAAUGGCGGCGGCGGCGGCGCCGGCGAGGGGAUCACGGACAGGCCGAUCCGGGUCUACGCCGACGGCAUCUACGACCUCUUCCACUUCGGCCACGCGCGCUCGCUCGAGCAGGCCAAGAAAUCGUUCCCUAAUGCAUAUCUUCUUGUCGGGUGCUGCAAUGAUGAGUUGACACAUCAAUACAAAGGAAGAACUGUCAUGACAGAGGACGAGAGAUAUGAAUCACUUCGCCAUUGCAAGUGGGUUGAUGAAGUCAUUCCUGACGCUCCGUGGGUAGUAACAGAAGAGUUCUUGAACAAGCAUAACAUCGAUUUUGUUGCACAUGAUUCUCUGCCGUAUCAUGAUGCUAGUGGAGCUAGUAAUGAUGUCUAUGAAUUUGUAAAAAAGCUUGGUAAAUUUAAGGAGACCAAGCGCACAGAAGGAAUAUCAACCUCAGACAUUAUAAUGAGGAUUGUUAAAGAUUAUAAUGAGUAUGUUAUGCGCAAUCUGGCCAGGGGGUACAGCAGAAAUGAUCUUGGUGUCAGCUAUGUCAAGGAAAAACGACUAAGAGUUAAUAUGGGAUUGAAAACCCUCCGUGACAAAGUGAAGCAGCACCAAGAAAAAGUAGGGGAGAAGUGGAGUACAGUGGCAAAACUCCAGGAAGAGUGGGUUGAAAACGCAGAUCGCUGGGUUGUUGGUUUUCUAGAGAAAUUCGAGGAAGGUUGCCAUUCAAUGGGAACUGCCAUCAAGGAAAGAAUCCAGGAAAGGCUGAAGGAGGCGCAGUCUAGGGACUUCAGCCUUCUACAAUACGACAGUGACGACUUUGACGACUUUGAAGAAGAAGACGAUGAAGUUGCCAAAGAUGCCAAAUACGUGAAAGAAUAG
This 1089-nucleotide ribosomal RNA is filed under the name Triticum aestivum (bread wheat). RNAcentral's name for it is "partial small subunit ribosomal RNA". The record is from RNAcentral. Lineage: Eukaryota; Viridiplantae; Streptophyta; Magnoliopsida; Poales; Poaceae.